Molecule: ribosomal RNA, 253 nt
Filed under: uncultured bacterium
Lineage: Bacteria
Description: partial 16S ribosomal RNA
Rfam family: Bacterial small subunit ribosomal RNA
Source: RNAcentral
UACGUAGGGUGCGAGCGUUGUCCGGAAUUAUUGGGCGUAAAGGGCUCGUAGGCGGUCUGUCGCGUCGGGAGUGAAAACUCAGGGCUUAACCCUGAGCCUGCUUCCGAUACGGGCAGACUAGAGGUAUGCAGGGGAGAACGGAAUUCCUGGUGUAGCGGUGGAAUGCGCAGAUAUCAGGAGGAACACCGGUGGCGAAGGCGGUUCUCUGGGCCUGACCUGACGCUGAGGCGCGAAAGCCAGGGGAGCGAACGGG